AUUGGAAUGCAUCCCCAACAUGUAGGCUAAAUUACCACCGGUCUUUAUACCACCCUCAUCAUCCCCUGAGAUUUGUGUACGUUUGUGAAUAGGAUUGUAGUUCAAUAGUAUUUCCAUAUUGUUCAGGGUUAGGAGGCCAUUCAACUCAAAGAUGAUCCUCUCUACAGUUCAAUAGAAUUGUUUUUUAACCUUUAUACGCUUUGGGGGUUCAGAUGUCCUUUUACAAUAAAAAUCGUGGUCCUUAUCCUUGAUAUUAUACCAACUAUGGGGGUAUGUAAUCUCGCUGAGACCUACUUCUCAGGCCUCUGAUAACUCUAUAGGCUUUGGAAAAUUGGUUGUAUAAUUCAAACUUUUGUUAUUCCUAUAUAUCUGCAGAUGCAUUUCUGGGGAGAGUCAGAUCAAAUCCACUGUGCUCCAUGAUGCACUCUUGUGUAUACUCGAAUGAUGGUGUUUUUACCAUGCAUGAGGGUUUAAAUUAACCCCCACUGUCUCCACCACCUCCUCCACUAAUACCCAACUGUUGAACUUUUGUGGCCAGUUUUUCCAACGGACCAGCAACCAUUUUUUAUCCUUUCUCUGUUUUGAUCCAGAAUCUGCGCCACGUGAAAGACUUUGUCUUUACCCAUCUUUACCUUCUGGAGUUCCUUCUUAUAAAAGGAACCCUCUAUAAGUGUCACAGCUCUUGUCGGAAUGAGUGGACCAAAGCGCAGCCAGGGGACCACAGUGAACUUUCCUGGAAUGACGUCAGGAUCAGGAGUUCUCAGAUUAGUGUAGGGAUGUAAUCUCUGCAAUUAACAGCUCUGUUUACAAUGCAACUGUUUUGAACGUAUUAUUUAUUUGGGAAUUUUGUAUGUUUGUUCAAAAUAAAAAUGUAUCACUG
Salvelinus namaycush (lake trout) is the source of this 880-nucleotide long non-coding RNA. RefSeq lists it as uncharacterized. The record is from RefSeq and is a predicted model, not a curated record. Lineage: Eukaryota; Metazoa; Chordata; Actinopteri; Salmoniformes; Salmonidae. The transcript has 2 exons.